GUCGGUGAUUAUUACACUGAGGACCCACCUGUUCCCAUUCCGAACACAGAAGUUAAGCUC
This 60-nucleotide ribosomal RNA is filed under the name Hydrogenoanaerobacterium saccharovorans. Lineage: Bacteria; Bacillati; Bacillota; Clostridia; Eubacteriales; Oscillospiraceae. The record is from RNAcentral.